RNAcentral lists this ribosomal RNA (520 nucleotides) under uncultured bacterium. RNAcentral's name for it is "bacterial SSU rRNA". It matches the Rfam family "Bacterial small subunit ribosomal RNA", at positions 523 to 1035 of the family's 1533-position model. The record is from RNAcentral.
AUACGAGUGCCCCGAGCGUUAUCCGGAUUUAUUGGGCGUAAAGCGUGAAUAGGUUGUUUAAUAAGUCGUUGGUGAAAGACCAGAGCUCAACUCUGGGAACGCUGACGAUACUGUUAGACUUGAGGCUAGGAGAGGUAAGUGGAAUUGCCGGUGGAGGGGUUAAAUCCGUUGAUAUCGGCAGGAACACCAAAGGCGAAGGCAACUUACUGGAAUAGUUCUGACACUAAUUUCACGAAAGCGUGGGGAGCGAAGAGGAUUAGAUACCCUCGUAGUCCACGCCGUAAACGAUGAAUGCUAGGCAUUGGUAGUAUCGACCCUAUCAGUGCCGUUUACAAAAGCUAACGCGUUAAGCAUUCCGCCUGGGGAGUACGGUCGCAAGACUAAAACUCAAAGGAAUUGGCGGGGACCCGCACAAGCGGUGGAGCGUGUGGUUUAAUUCGAUGCUAAGCGAGCAACCUCACCAAGACUUGACAUAUAGCUGCAAGCUCUAGAGAUAGAGUCGCCUACGAGGGUGCUAUAC